RNA transcript from Solanum tuberosum (potato), 3280 nucleotides. It is a transcript of the gene named putative disease resistance protein RGA4, with no coding region annotated. Lineage: Eukaryota; Viridiplantae; Streptophyta; Magnoliopsida; Solanales; Solanaceae. The record is from RefSeq and is a predicted model, not a curated record. The transcript is spliced from 3 exons.
UCCAAAAGAUCUUAUGUUUGAAAAGGCCCAACUAAUCCAACUCUAGAUGGCAGAAGGCUUUCUUCAUCCAUGUCAAGAGACCACCGUGAUGGAAGACAUCGGGAACAACUUCUUUCUACUCUUGUUGAGAAAUUCCUUGCUACAAGAUGUUGUGUUAGAUGAGCAUAACAAUAUAAAAUACUGUAAGAUGCACGAUCUUGUGCAUGAUUUGGCUGGAGAUAUCUUCAAAUCUAAACUAUUUGAUCAGAAGGGCAAUGAUGGAGAAAAACUUUCUCAAGUGCGAUACUUUGGGUGGGACUCACCAAGUGAUCAAAUAGAUAAGAUAAAUGAGCCAGGACGGUUGUGCACGCUGUUCUGGAGAAACAAUUAUAUAUCGGAAGAUAUGCUGUUGAGCUUUAAGUUCUUGAGAGUUUUAAAUUUGUCUAGAUCAGGAAUCAAGGAGUUGUCAGCCUUAAUCGGGAAGCUAAUAUACUUGAGAUAUCUAGAUAUCUCGAGCACUGAGAUCACAACCUUGCCCCACUCCAUUUGCAAGCUCUAUAAUUUGCAAACCUUUAGAGUCAAUUGUUGCUAUUCACUCAAGGAGUUUCCAUAUGAGAUGGGAAAUAUGAUAAGUUUGAGACACAUAUAUUUUUAUUCUUCGUCUCAGACGCCACUUAACUUGGGACAAUUGACUUGUCUUCAGACCCUACAGUAUUUCAAUGUGGGUUUGGAGAAAGGCCAUCGAAUAGAAGAAUUAGGUUGUUUGAAUAACCUUAGAGGUGAAUUGUGUAUCAAUGAGCUGGAAUUGGUCCAUAGUAGAGAAGAAGCUCUAACAGCAUAUUUACAAGAGAAAUCAAAUAUUUACAAGCUGACAUAUUUAUGGUCCCAUCAGGAAUCAGAAGGAUGUGAGAUUAAUGCUAAGCAUGUGUUGGAUGGUCUUCAACCACAUCCUAACUUGAAAACAUUUGAAGUGGUGAGAUAUUUGGGUACUAGAUUUCCUUCAUGGUUCAAUGAACAGUCGCUACCAAAUUUGGUCAAGUUGAAAUUAAGUAAUUGCAGAAGUUGCAAAGAAAUUCCAUCUCUUGGCCAACUGAAAUUCCUUCGGCAUCUUGAACUGGUAGGGUUCCAUAAGCUGGAAUGCAUCGGAACUACAUUUUAUGGUAUUGAGGUUAACAAUAUGGGAUCAAGUAGCAAUAAUGCCAUUAUCCAAGUGUUCCCAUCAUUAAAAGAACUAGUAUUGGAGAAUAUGCGUAGCCUUACUGAGUGGAAGGGAGUGGAAUCGAUACCAACAACAAGUGGGGUAAGAAUGUUUCCUGGGCUUGAGAAGUUGAGGAUUAGCUACUGUCCAUUGUUAAAAAGUACUCCGAAGCUAUUUGAAAUCCUACGUGAAUUGAGCAUUAAAGUAGUUGACAGUGAAAUGCCACUAUUGAAUUUGUGCAGCAACUUGACAUCUCUUGUAAAGCUUAGUGUCUCUUUUGUGGAAGAGCUCACUUGUUUUCCAGAUGAGAUGCUACGCAACAACGUUUCUCUUCAACACUUAUCGGUCUCAAACUGCAGAGAGUUUCGUGAAUUGCCACAGAGCUUGUACAAUCUGCAUUCUCUUAAGAGCUUAAUCAUUCAGUGCUGCACCAAUUUCAGUUCCUUUCCUGUUCCCAGUGGAGAGAAUUAUUUGACUUCCCUACAAAAUCUUCAGCUAUGGAGUUGUGGUGGAUUGGCCAGUUUACCAAGUGGAAUGCUAGAGAAAUGCCGGUCUCUACAGAAUUUGAGGGUCAACUAUUGUAACAACUUAGUUUCCUUCCCUUUACAUGCGGGGGACAUGCCUUCACUUUCCUAUUUGUCUAUAGCACACUGUCCCAAAUUGGAUAGUGUACCCACAGGGGGCCUUCACCAUCUCACCAGGUUAAGGGAAUUGGAAAUUGGUCCCGUCUCAGAUAUGGUGGAUUUUGAGGCAUUCCAAUUGACUUUUAAUGGCAUUCAGCAGCUGUUGUCCCUUCGUACUCUGCUUGUGUUCGGACAUUUGCACUGGGAUUCUCUGCCCUAUCAGCUUAUGCAACUCUCUGCCCUAACUCAUAUACAUAUAUGUGAUUUCGGAAUCGAGGCUCUUCCUCAUAGACUUGACAAUCUUACUUCUCUUGAAGUAUUACGUUUAGUGAGGUGCAAACGGCUGCAACAUGUGGACUUCUCAGAUGCCAUGCCCAAAUUACAGUAUCUAACCAUCUGUGGUUGUCCAUUGUUAGAAGCUCUGUCGGAUGGGCUUGGCAACCUUGUUACUUUGCAACAGUUAAGAUUAGAGAACUGCGAAAAACUGGAGCAUCUGCCAUCCAGAGAGGCCAUGCGACGCCUCACUAAAUUAUGGUACCUAAAAAUUAAAGGGUGCCCAAAGUUAGAAGAAAGUUGCAACAAUCGGAGUGGCCCAAACACCCAGUGGUCCAACAUUUCCCAUAUUCCAAAAGUUAAAGUAGGUGGAAGCAUAAUUCAGGACUUGCUUUCUUUUGCGUAAGAGGAGGUGAACUGUAGAGAGGAAAAAGCUGACCUAAUUUGACUUCUAUUCAAUUUGCAUCAGUGGUGCUUUUGGAGACUCUGAUUGUAUGUCGUUUGAGAUUUUAAGUCCUUCCUGUCUUGUGGAUAUCAAUAAAUCUUCAAGAUUUGUUUCCUCAAAUUCUCACCGAUGGAGUGGCUGCAGCCUCCAGUUCCAUCAUGUCCCAUUUGGGAUAUAUUGCACAGAGACGUGAUGGCAUUGAAAUGCUUAUACCAUUCUUGCUGACACUACAGUAAGUGAUUGCCUCACAUCUCAGUUAGAUUGACAAUCAUUAGCCACAAAGGGAAGAAAAGAGUAAAAGGAGUAUCAUAGAUGUCACCAAAGACGAAUGUACAAAUAACUCCCAAGGAUCCCCUGUCCUUAGGUCCUGAAAGAGACACCGAUCAUAUAUGAAAGUUACAUUCGAGUGGCUUUGAAGCUUGUGUCUUUACUUAUGUCUAGUAUAUAUGUAAUUUAUCUGAUGUAUCAUUGCCUAGUUGAUAUAUAGCUUCUCUCAUCUAGCUCUGUUUUGAAAUUUAUCUUGGCAUUUGCAUUAUUUUAAGUGCAAAUACUAUGAUGGUUCAAAUCUAGAGCUUGUGUUCCAAAUCGACAAGGCAUGCAAUGUCCUCUUUUGAUAUAUCAACUGUUUGUUGCAAAUUCAUGUGCUGUGUCUUGGUACUGAAGCACAACUCCUCACUAGAUAAUGCAUUUGGUGAGCUUACUAUUAAAAGCAUUUAUAACUACUGGAAACAGGAGUACUUACCAUUCGGAGUUAAACAGUAU